This 221-nucleotide unclassified non-coding RNA is filed under the name Hevea brasiliensis (rubber tree). The record is from RNAcentral. Lineage: Eukaryota; Viridiplantae; Streptophyta; Magnoliopsida; Malpighiales; Euphorbiaceae.
AUUUAAUUUAUUUAUAGUGUUAAUGAUAAGUGAUAGUGGUUGGAUAGUUGAACAGUAAUAGUGGCUAAGCGAUGGUGGCGGUGACAAUAGCUAUGGUUAGGUGGUGGUGGUGAUGGUGGCGGCGGCAAGGUGUGAUAGUAGUGGUAUUAGUAACUAGGUAGAGGUGAUAGCUGUGGUGGUGGUAGCAGGGGUAGUAAUGUUGACAAUAAAUGAAAAAAAAA